Molecule: ribosomal RNA, 481 nt
Filed under: uncultured bacterium
Lineage: Bacteria
Description: bacterial SSU rRNA
Rfam family: Bacterial small subunit ribosomal RNA
Source: RNAcentral
UCCUACGGGAGGCAGCAGUGGGGAAUAUUGGACAAUGGGGGCAACCCUGAUCCAGCAAUGCCGCGUGUGUGAAGAAGGCCUGAGGGUUGUAAAGCACUUUCAGUGGGGAGGAGGCUUAUAAGGUUAAGAGCUGUAUAAGUGGACGUUACCCACAGAAGAAGCACCGGCUAACUCCGUGCCAGCAGCCGCGGUAAUACAGAGGGUGCAAGCGUUAAUCGGAAUUACUGGGCGUAAAGAGUGCGUAGGUGGUUUGGUAGUUAUCUGUGAAAUUCCUGGGCUUAACCUGGGCAUGUCAGAUAAUACUGCUGAACUCGAGUACGGGAGAGGGUAGUGGAAUUUCCGGUGUAGCGGUGAAAUGCGUAGAGAUCGGAAGGAACACCAGUGGCGAAGGCGGCUACCUGGCCUAAUACUGACACUGAGGCACGAAAGCGUGGGGAGCAAACAGGAUUAGAUACCCUGGUAGUCCACGCCGUAAACGAUG